GUGCUCACUUCAGCAGCAUGCAUACUAAAAUCAGAAUGAUACAGAGAAGACUAGCAUGGCCCCUGCGUAAGGAGGAUGCACAAAUUCGUGAAGCGUUCCAUAGUUGU
This is a small nuclear RNA of Echinops telfairi (small Madagascar hedgehog), 107 nucleotides long. The record is from RefSeq and is a predicted model, not a curated record. Lineage: Eukaryota; Metazoa; Chordata; Mammalia; Afrosoricida; Tenrecidae.